UACGUAGGGGGCGAGCGUUGUCCGGAUUUAUUGGGCGUAAAGAGCGUGUAGGCGGCCAGGUAGGUCUGCUGUGAAAACUCGAGGCUCAACCUCGAGACGCCGAUGGAAACCAUUUGGCUAGAGUCCGGAAGAGGAGAGUGGAAUUCCUGGUGUAGCGGUGAAAUGCGCAGAUAUCAGGAAGAACACCCGUGGCUAAGGCGGCUCUCUAGUACGGUACUGACGCUGAGACGCGAAAGCGUGGGGAGCGAACAGG
This 253-nucleotide ribosomal RNA is filed under the name uncultured bacterium. RNAcentral's name for it is "partial 16S ribosomal RNA". It matches the Rfam family "Bacterial small subunit ribosomal RNA", at positions 524 to 776 of the family's 1533-position model. The record is from RNAcentral.